GUCAUUCUUCGUGAAAAUGUCUGUGCAAACAUCUCCUGGAGUCUCAAGAGGAAGUUAAGGUUGGAGUCUGCCCCUUUGGAUGUGAUUGUUUUUAUCUUGAAUGGGACCAACAGAAAUGGCAUUGAUUCCUAAUACCCAGGAUGCCACGAAAUCUGCGAUGGAGAUCCAAAAUUCACAAUAGUGGGACAUAAGGAGGAUAAAGGCACUGGAAUGCAAGAAAGAAGGAUCUACACAGAUGGACAAUUUAGGCAUUUACCCGACUACUGAUGACAAAGAUAUAAGAUCCAAUCUACGUAGAGCCAGUAAGGAGAAAUUUGUCCAAACGUGUGGUACCAAUUAAGAACCAUUAAACAAUACCAGCCUGGUUUCCUCUGUCGACACUAGAUAUUGACAGGUUUGAUAUAUCUAUGUCAGCCUUUAUUAACUUUCAGCCUUGCAAUAUUUAACACCCUCGUCUGAAAUCGUAAUUACAGUGGAUGGGCAGAAUGAAAAUGUUUGAAG
Molecule: long non-coding RNA, 501 nt
Organism: Macrobrachium nipponense
Lineage: Eukaryota; Metazoa; Arthropoda; Malacostraca; Decapoda; Palaemonidae
Exons: 3
Source: RefSeq, a predicted model, not a curated record